This 46-nucleotide non-coding RNA is filed under the name Trichobilharzia regenti. Lineage: Eukaryota; Metazoa; Platyhelminthes; Trematoda; Strigeidida; Schistosomatidae. The record is from RNAcentral.
GCAUUGCUGAAGAGUUCCAAACUAGGACGAAACAAAUGUCCAGUAC